UGAGUAACCUGCCCUUAACUCUGGGAUAAGCCUGGGAAACUGGGUCUAAUACCGGAUAUGACUCCUCAUCGCAUGGUGGGGGGUGGAAAGCUUUUUGUGGUUUUGGAUGGACUCGCGGCCUAUCAGCUUGUUGGUGAGGUAAUGGCUCACCAAGGUGACGACGGGUAGCCGGCCUGAGAGGGUGACCGGCCACACUGGGACUGAGACACGGCCCAGACUCCUACGGGAGGCAGCAGUGGGG
This 241-nucleotide ribosomal RNA is filed under the name uncultured bacterium. RNAcentral's name for it is "partial 16S ribosomal RNA". It matches the Rfam family "Bacterial small subunit ribosomal RNA", at positions 118 to 359 of the family's 1533-position model. The record is from RNAcentral.